GAUGAACGCUGGCGGCGUGCCUAACACAUGCAAGUCGAACGAACAGAUGAGGAGCUUGCGCCUUUGCCGUUAGCGGCGGACGGGUGAGUAACACGUGGAUCACCUCCUUAUCUGUCUGGGAUAACUACGGAACACCGGAUCUAAUACCAGAUAAUAUAUUGAACCGCAUGGUUCAAUAGUGAAAGACGGUUUUGCUGUCUCUUAUAGCUGGAUCCGCGCCGCAUUAGCUAGUUGGUAAGGUAACGGCCUACCAAGGCUACGAUGCGUAGCCGACAUGAGGGGGUGAUCGGCCACACUGGAACUGAGACACGGUCCAGACUCCUACGGGAGGCAGCAGUAGGGAAUCUUCCGCAAUGGGCGAAAGCUUGACGGAGCAACGCCGCGUGAGUGAUGAAGGUCUUCGGAUCGUAAAGCUCUGUUAUUGGGGAAGAACAAAUGUGUAAGUAAAUAUGCACGUCUUGACGGUACCUAAUCAGAAAGCCCCGGCUAACUACGUG
RNAcentral lists this ribosomal RNA (497 nucleotides) under uncultured bacterium. Its description in RNAcentral is "partial 16S ribosomal RNA". It matches the Rfam family "Bacterial small subunit ribosomal RNA", at positions 28 to 507 of the family's 1533-position model. The record is from RNAcentral.